CAGUAGCCACGGUAAUACGGAGGGAGCUAGCGUUGUUCGGAAUUACUGGGCGUAAAGCGCACGUAGGCGGUUAUUCAAGUCAGAGGUGAAAGCCCGGGGCUCAACCCCGGAACUGCCUUUGAUACUGGCGAUCUUGAGUAUGGGAGAGGUGUGUGGAACUCCGAGUGUAGAGGUGAAAUUCGUAGAUAUUCGGAAGAACACCAGUGGCGAAGGCGACACACUGGCCCAUUACUGACGCUGAGGCUCGAAAGCGUGGGGAGCAAACAGGAUUAGAUACCCCGGUAGUCCCUGUCUCUUAUAC
Molecule: ribosomal RNA, 301 nt
Filed under: uncultured bacterium
Lineage: Bacteria
Description: partial 16S ribosomal RNA
Rfam family: Bacterial small subunit ribosomal RNA
Source: RNAcentral